GACCCUAUCGUCUAGUGGCCAAGGACAUUGGGAUUUCAUCCUAAGAACAAAGGUUCAAAUCCUUUUGGGGUCGCCA
RNAcentral lists this transfer RNA (76 nucleotides) under Campylobacterota bacterium. RNAcentral describes it as "Epsilonproteobacteria bacterium tRNA-Glu". It matches the Rfam family "tRNA". Rfam says of the family: Transfer RNA (tRNA) molecules are approximately 80 nucleotides in length. The record is from RNAcentral. RNAcentral also lists the same sequence under 1 other name. Lineage: Bacteria; Pseudomonadati; Campylobacterota.